UGACGUGUUUUUUUUUGCUUUUCUACGUUUCUUUCCGUCCUUGUUAGUUGCAACCCGCAGUUAAGCGUGCUUGGGCGAGAGUAGUACUAGAAUGGGUGACCUCCUGGGAAGUCCUCGUGUUGCACCAC
RNAcentral lists this ribosomal RNA (128 nucleotides) under Vigna angularis (adzuki bean). Lineage: Eukaryota; Viridiplantae; Streptophyta; Magnoliopsida; Fabales; Fabaceae. The record is from RNAcentral.